AUUGAACGCUGGCGGCAUGCUUUACACAUGCAAGUCGAACGGCAGCACGGGCUUCGGCCUGGUGGCGAGUGGCGAACGGGUGAGUAAUAUAUCGGAACGUACCCAGAAGUGGGGGAUAACGUAGCGAAAGUUACGCUAAUACCGCAUACGAUCUAUGGAUGAAAGCAGGGGACCGCAAGGCCUUGUGCUCCUGGAGCGGCCGAUAUCUGAUUAGCUAGUUGGUGAGGUAAAGGCUCACCAAGGCGACGAUCGGUAGCUGGUCUGAGAGGACGACCAGCCACACUGGAACUGAGACACGGUCCAGACUCCUACGGGAGGCAGCAGUGGGGAAUUUUGGACAAUGGGCGCAAGCCUGAUCCAGCAAUGCCGCGUGAGUGAAGAAGGCCUUCGGGUUGUAAAGCUCUUUUGUCAGGGAAGAAACGGUAGAGGCUAAUAUCCUUUGCUAAUGACGGUACCUGAAGAAUAAGCACCGGCUAACUACGUG
Molecule: ribosomal RNA, 484 nt
Filed under: uncultured bacterium
Lineage: Bacteria
Description: partial 16S ribosomal RNA
Rfam family: Bacterial small subunit ribosomal RNA
Source: RNAcentral